Mustela putorius furo (domestic ferret) is the source of this 108-nucleotide small nuclear RNA. Lineage: Eukaryota; Metazoa; Chordata; Mammalia; Carnivora; Mustelidae. The record is from Ensembl.
GUGUUCACUUUGGCAGCACAUAUACUAAAAAAUCUCUAACAAUACAGAAGAUCAGCAUGGUACCUCCACAAGGAUAAGAGGCAAAUUCGUAAAGCACUCCAUAUUAAA